This 211-nucleotide long non-coding RNA is filed under the name Elaeis guineensis (African oil palm). RNAcentral's name for it is "long non-coding RNA (EGUI_LNC073113)". The record is from RNAcentral. Lineage: Eukaryota; Viridiplantae; Streptophyta; Magnoliopsida; Arecales; Arecaceae.
UCUAUUUAUAUAUACACAUACAUAUAUAUGGACAUACAUACAUAAAUACAUACAUAUGUGUGUUUGUGUGUGUCAAUCGACACCUGUUGAAGUAGCCAUGCACAUCUUGCAUGCUGACUACUAUUUUGCCCAACUCUAACUGGUGCCACAAAUUUGGAUGGCUUGCUAGUUUUGCAAGCAACCAAGUGCUGCCUGUUAUAGUUACUCCAUG